AAGUCAGAGGUGAAAUCCUGAGCUCAACUGUGGAACUGCCUUUGAUACUGGUUGACUUGAGUUAUUGUGAAGUAGAUAGAAUGUGUAGUGUAGCGGUGAAAUGCAUAGAUAUUACACAGAAUACCGAUUGCGAAGGCAGAUUACUAAGCAAUUACUGACGCUGAUGGACGAAAGCGUGGGGAGCGAACAGGAUUAGAUACCCUGGUAGUCCACGCCGUAAACGAUGGAUACUAGCUGUUGGGCCUACGCUGGGUGGGUGAGCGGAAAAGAGAAAGUUACCACCCCUGGGGAGUACGACCGCAAGGCUGAAACUCAAAUGAAU
This 322-nucleotide ribosomal RNA is filed under the name uncultured bacterium. RNAcentral describes it as "bacterial SSU rRNA". It matches the Rfam family "Bacterial small subunit ribosomal RNA", at positions 585 to 910 of the family's 1533-position model. The record is from RNAcentral.